GAUGAACGCUGGCGGCGUGCCUAAUACAUGCAAGUCGAGCGAACAGACGAGGAGCUUGCUCCUCUGACGUUAGCGGCGGACGGGUGAGUAACACGUGGAUAACCUACCUAUAAGACUGGGAUAACUUCGGGAAACCGGAGCUAAUACCGGAUAAUAUAUUGAACCGCAUGGUUCAAUAGUGAAAGACGGUUUUGCUGUCACUUAUAGAUGGAUCCGCGCCGCAUUAGCUAGUUGGUAAGGUAACGGCUUACCAAGGCAACGAUGCGUAGCCGACCCGAGAGGGGGAUCGGCCACACUGGAACUGAGACACGGUCCAGACUCCUACGGGAGGCAGCAGUAGGGAAUCUUCCGCAAUGGGCGAAAGCCUGACGGAGCAACGCCGCGUGAGUGAUGAAGGUCUUCGGAUCGUAAAACUCUGUUAUUAGGGAAGAACAAAUGUGUAAGUAACUAUGCACGUCUUGACGGUACCUAAUCAGAAAGCCACGGCUAACUACGUG
This 497-nucleotide ribosomal RNA is filed under the name uncultured bacterium. RNAcentral's name for it is "partial 16S ribosomal RNA". It matches the Rfam family "Bacterial small subunit ribosomal RNA", at positions 28 to 507 of the family's 1533-position model. The record is from RNAcentral.